This 400-nucleotide ribosomal RNA is filed under the name uncultured Moraxellaceae bacterium. RNAcentral describes it as "bacterial SSU rRNA". It matches the Rfam family "Bacterial small subunit ribosomal RNA", at positions 498 to 897 of the family's 1533-position model. Lineage: Bacteria; Pseudomonadati; Pseudomonadota; Gammaproteobacteria; Moraxellales; Moraxellaceae. The record is from RNAcentral.
UAACUCCGUGCCAGCAGCCGCGGUAAUACAGAGGGUGCGAGCGUUAAUCGGAUUUACUGGGCGUAAAGCGUGCGUAGGCGGCUUUUUAAGUCGGAUGUGAAAUCCCUGAGCUUAACUUAGGAAUUGCAUUCGAUACUGGGAAGCUAGAGUAUGGGAGAGGAUGGUAGAAUUCCAGGUGUAGCGGUGAAAUGCGUAGAGAUCUGGAGGAAUACCGAUGGCGAAGGCAGCCAUCUGGCCUAAUACUGACGCUGAGGUACGAAAGCAUGGGGAGCAAACAGGAUUAGAUACCCUGGUAGUCCAUGCCGUAAACGAUGUCUACUAGCCGUUGGGGCCUUUGAGGCUUUAGUGGCGCAGCUAACGCGAUAAGUAGACCGCCUGGGGAGUACGUCCGCGAGGUUAA